AACGAACGCUGGCGGCAUGCCUAACACAUGCAAGUCGAACGGACGGUAGCAAUACCGUUAGUGGCGGACGGGUGAGUAACGCGUGGGAACCUGCCUCGAAGUUCGGAAUAACCGCGGGAAACUGCGGCUAAUACCGGAUGUGGCCUGAGGGUCAAAGGCGCAAGUCGCUUCGAGAGGGGCCCGCGUCCGAUUAGCUAGUUGGUGGGGUAACGGCCUACCAAGGCGACGAUCGGUAGCUGGUCUGAGAGGAUGAUCAGCCACACUGGGACUGAGACACGGUCCGGACUCCUACGGGAGGCAGCAGUGGGGAAUAUUGGACAAUGGGGGAAACCCUGGAUCCAGCGACGCCGCGUGGGUGAAGAAGGCCUGCGGGUUGUAAAGCCCUUUCAGUGGGAAGAAAAGCCUCGACCUAACACGUCGGGGUCUUGACGUAACCCAUAGAAGAAGCACCGGCUAACUCUGUGCCAGCA
This 470-nucleotide ribosomal RNA is filed under the name uncultured bacterium. RNAcentral describes it as "bacterial SSU rRNA". It matches the Rfam family "Bacterial small subunit ribosomal RNA", at positions 29 to 513 of the family's 1533-position model. The record is from RNAcentral.